This 826-nucleotide ribosomal RNA is filed under the name Maribacter sp. SRO_19. Its description in RNAcentral is "bacterial SSU rRNA". It matches the Rfam family "Bacterial small subunit ribosomal RNA", at positions 67 to 882 of the family's 1533-position model. The record is from RNAcentral. Lineage: Bacteria; Pseudomonadati; Bacteroidota; Flavobacteriia; Flavobacteriales; Flavobacteriaceae.
GGGCAGCGGGGAAAAGCUUGCUUUUCCGCCGGCGACCGGCGCACGGGUGCGCACCGCGUAUGGAACCUGCCUUGUACAGGGGAAUAGCCCAGGGAAACUUGGAUUAAUGCCCCGUAGUACCGUAUUUCGGCAUCGUUAUACGGUUAAAGCCUUCGGGCGGUACAAGAUGGCCAUGCGUCCCAUUAGCUUGUUGGUAAGGUAACGGCUUACCAAGGCUACSAUGGGUAGGGGCCCUGAGAGGGGGAUCCCCCACACUGGUACUGAGACACGGACCAGACUCCUACGGGAGGCAGCAGUGAGGAAUAUUGGACAAUGGAGGAGACUCUGAUCCAGCCAUGCCGCGUGCAGGAAGAAUGCCCUAUGGGUAGUAAACUGCUUUUAUACGGGAAGAAAAAGAGCUACGUGUAGCUUACUGACGGUACCGUAAGAAUAAGGACCGGCUAACUCCGUGCCAGCAGCCGCGGUAAUACGGAGGGUCCGAGCGUUAUCCGGAAUUAUUGGGUUUAAAGGGUCCGUAGGCGGGCCGAUAAGUCAGGGGUGAAAGUCUGCCGCUCAACGGUAGAACUGCCUUUGAUACUGUCGGUCUUGAGUUAUAGUGAAGUUGCCGGAAUAUGUAGUGUAGCGGUGAAAUGCAUAGAUAUUACAUAGAACACCGAUUGCGAAGGCAGGUGACUAACUAUAUACUGACGCUGAUGGACGAAAGCGUGGGGAGCGAACAGGAUUAGAUACCCUGGUAGUCCACGCCGUAAACGAUGGAUACUAGCUGUCCGGGGCCUUGAGUUCUGGGCGGCCAAGCGAAAGUGAUAAGUAUCCCACCUGGGGAGUA